UGGGGAAUUUUGGACAAUGGGGGAAACCCUGAUCCAGCCAUCCCGCGUGUGCGAUGAAGGCCUUCGGGUUGUAAAGCACUUUUGGCAGGAAAGAAACGUCGCGGGUUAAUACCCCGCGAAACUGACGGUACCUGCAGAAUAAGCACCGGCUAACUACGUGCCAGCAGCCGCGGUAAUACGUAGGGUGCAAGCGUUAAUCGGAAUUACUGGGCGUAAAGCGUGCGCAGGCGGUUCGGAAAGAAAGAUGUGAAAUCCCAGAGCUUAACUUUGGAACUGCAUUUUUAACUACCGGGCUAGAGUGUGUCAGAGGGAGGUGGAAUUCCGCGUGUAGCAGUGAAAUGCGUAGAUAUGCGGAGGAACACCGAUGGCGAAGGCAGCCUCCUGGGAUAACACUGACGCUCAUGCACGAAAGCGUGGGGAGCAAACAGGAUUAGUACCCUGGUAGUCCACCCCUAAACGAUGUCAACUAGCUGUUGGGGCCUUCGGGCCUUGGUANCGCAGCUAACGCGUGAAGUUGACCGCCUGGGGAGUACGGUCGCAAGA
This 543-nucleotide ribosomal RNA is filed under the name uncultured bacterium. Its description in RNAcentral is "partial 16S ribosomal RNA". It matches the Rfam family "Bacterial small subunit ribosomal RNA", at positions 355 to 893 of the family's 1533-position model. The record is from RNAcentral.